AUAAGGAGGGUGCAAGCGUUAUCCGGAAUCAUUGGGUUUAAAGGGUCCGCAGGCGGAUUAAUAAGUCAGUGGUGAAAUCCUCUCGCUCAACGAGAGAACUGCCAUUGAAACUGUUAGUCUUGAAUUCGGUCGAAGUAGGCGGAAUGUGUCAUGUAGCGGUGAAAUGCAUAGAUAUGACACAGAACACCGAUAGCGAAGGCAGCUUACUAGACCUGGAUUGACGCUCAUGGACGAAAGCGUGGGGAGCGAACAGGAUUAGAAACCCUAGUAGUCC
Molecule: ribosomal RNA, 274 nt
Filed under: uncultured bacterium
Lineage: Bacteria
Description: partial 16S ribosomal RNA
Rfam family: Bacterial small subunit ribosomal RNA
Source: RNAcentral